AAUCAACGCUGGCGGCGUGCCUCAGACAUGCAAGUCGAACGAGAAAGUCCCCUUCGGGGGAUAAGUAAAGUGGCGCACGGGUGAGUAACACGUAGGUAAUCUACCUUCGGGUGGGGAAUAACCCAGGGAAACUUGGGCUAACACCGCAUAAUGCAGCGGCACCACAUGGUGACAGUUGUUAAAGCGGGGGAUUUUAGGACCUCGCGCCUGAAGAGGAGCCUGCGGCGGAUUAGCUAGUUGGGAGGUAACGGCUCACCAAGGUAACGAUCCGUAGCCGGCCUGAGAGGGCGGUCGGCCACACUGACACUGACAUACGGGUCAGACUCCUACGGGAGGCAGCAGUCGGGAAUUUUGGGCAAUGGGCGAAAGCCUGACCCAGCAACGCCGCGUGAACGGAUGAAAUCCCUCGGGAUGUAAACUUCGCAAGAAUGGGAAGAAUUAGUAGGGGUUAAUACCCCCUAUGAUGACGGUACCAUUUGUAGCUCCGGCUAACUCCGUGCCAGCCGCCGCGGU
Molecule: ribosomal RNA, 513 nt
Filed under: uncultured bacterium
Lineage: Bacteria
Description: bacterial SSU rRNA
Rfam family: Bacterial small subunit ribosomal RNA
Source: RNAcentral